UUAAGUCCCGCACGAGCGCAACCCUUGUCCUUAGUUGCCACCAUUCAGUUGGGCACUCUAGGAGACUGACCGGUGUUAAACCGGAGGAAGGUGGGGAUGACGUCAAGUCCUCAUGGCCCUUAUAUCCAGGGCUACACACGUGCUACAAUGGCCGGUACAAAGGGUCGCAAUACCGCGAGGAAGAGCUAAUCCCAAAAAGCAGUCCUAAGUUCGGAUUGGAGUCUGCAACUCGACUCCAUGAAGUUGGAAUCGCUAGUAAUCGUGGAUCAGCAUGCCACGGUCGAAUACGUUCCCGGGCCCUU
This 302-nucleotide ribosomal RNA is filed under the name uncultured Geobacter sp. Its description in RNAcentral is "bacterial SSU rRNA". It matches the Rfam family "Bacterial small subunit ribosomal RNA", at positions 1080 to 1382 of the family's 1533-position model. Lineage: Bacteria; Pseudomonadati; Thermodesulfobacteriota; Desulfuromonadia; Geobacterales; Geobacteraceae. The record is from RNAcentral.